This 155-nucleotide ribosomal RNA is filed under the name uncultured bacterium. Its description in RNAcentral is "partial 16S ribosomal RNA". It matches the Rfam family "Bacterial small subunit ribosomal RNA", at positions 337 to 508 of the family's 1533-position model. The record is from RNAcentral.
UCCUACGGGAGGCAGCGAGUGGGGAAUAUUGCACAAUGGGGGAAACCCUGAUGCAGCGACGCCGCGUGGAGGAAGAAGGUCUUCGGAUUGUAAACUCCUGUUGUUGAGGAAGAUAAUGACGGUACUCAACAAGGAAGUGACGGCUAACUACGUGC